UACGAAGGGUGCUAGCGUUGCUCGGAAUCACUGGGCGUAAAGCGCACGUAGGCGGAUUGCUAAGUCAGGGGUGAAAUCCUGGAGCUCAACUCCAGAACUGCCUUUGAUACUGGCGAUCUCGAGUCCGGGAGAGGUGAGUGGAACUGCGAGUGUAGAGGUGAAAUUCGUAGAGAUUCGCAAGAACACCAGUGGCGAAGGCGGCUCACUGGCCCGGUACUGACGCUGAGGUGCGAAAGCGUGGGGAGCAAACAGG
This 253-nucleotide ribosomal RNA is filed under the name uncultured bacterium. Its description in RNAcentral is "partial 16S ribosomal RNA". It matches the Rfam family "Bacterial small subunit ribosomal RNA", at positions 524 to 776 of the family's 1533-position model. The record is from RNAcentral.